GAUGGGUCGUCUUGAAAUGGUAAAGAGUGUCAAUCAUCGUCUUUACCAUUUCAAGAUGACCUAUU
This 65-nucleotide microRNA precursor is filed under the name Aedes aegypti (yellow fever mosquito). RNAcentral describes it as "microRNA aae-mir-11894a precursor (aae-mir-11894a-1)". The record is from miRBase by way of RNAcentral. Lineage: Eukaryota; Metazoa; Arthropoda; Insecta; Diptera; Culicidae.